CUGAAGCUUGGCCUCAAGCUGGCAGGAGAAGGAGCUGUCCGCUGCCAGAGCCCAGGGCGGGACCGCUGGCUAAUACAGUAAACACUAACAAGCCUGAGAAACUGGCUCUUAGCUGAAUAGAAUCUUGGCAUAUGCAGGAGAAGAAUCUCCCUGAAGGACAAAUGGAAUUUCACAGUGAAAGAACAACGUUCAGUGGCAUCUUGAACUCAGAGAGUGGGACUUUUCCACACAACCCCAAGGAUCCUACCAAGCCAGAACUUUAAUUCUCUCCAGAUCUCUGGUGCUGGCCCAGUACCUUUUAGACAGUACAUAUAACCAGUUUCUACGAAGCACAUUGGGGCUCAGUCCUGCAGCCUUUGCUUAUAUGAUGUGAGUAAUUCUUACCCAUACAAUAGCACCACUGACUUCAGUAGGUCUACUCACGUGAGUAGGGCUGGGCCUACAACCUUUACACAAAAC
Molecule: long non-coding RNA, 459 nt
Filed under: Gopherus agassizii (Agassiz's desert tortoise)
Lineage: Eukaryota; Metazoa; Chordata; Testudines; Testudinidae
Description: lncRNA (ENSGAGG00000025424.1)
Source: RNAcentral